Long non-coding RNA from Musca domestica (house fly), 1754 nucleotides. RefSeq lists it as uncharacterized. The transcript is spliced from 3 exons. Lineage: Eukaryota; Metazoa; Arthropoda; Insecta; Diptera; Muscidae. The record is from RefSeq and is a predicted model, not a curated record.
AGUGUAAUUUUAAAAUCAAAAAACAAAAUAAGAAAAUCAAAGUGAAGUGGCAUUUUUUUUCUCUUGAGAAUCUAGAAUCUAGAAAUGUGUAACUUUUUGAAUUUUUAAAUGGUCAGCAAGAUUUUUCUUUUACCUUACUUACAUAUGCAUAUAUAAUAUAUGUGAAUGUGUUUGUAUGUAUGGAGAUGUAUGUAUUUUUUGGGAGGUUGUUUAGAAGUUCGUUCUUUUAUAUGUAUGUAUGUCUGCAUUGGAAUAUGUAUAUGUGUGUCUGAGUCUGAGCCAUGCUGGGUGUAUGUGUUGGGUACACAUGCAAUGAGACAGGCCAAAGGAUUUACCAUUUGCUGGUGAAUAUGCCAGCCAGUUAACAAUGUGCCACCACUUGUGUCAAUUUAGCUUUCACAGAGUAAGCUCUCUCAUUUUGACCAGUUCUCCUCUUUACGACAGUGCGAGUGCCGCCAGUCAGUAACAUGGACCCUUACUCAUGGAAUAAUACUGGGUUGCCGUCUUUCAUAUCCGUUUAGUGUUGCGUGUGGUGAAAAUCCAAAGAGCGAACAAACGAGUUGCAGUGUUGUGUUUAUUCUCCUCAAAUGAGUCUCUAUGUCGAACGAAGGCACAAAAGCUUCGGCAUUUCAGUGAGUGCGGCAAAAAUUCAUCAAAUUUCAUUCUCAGUUUUAUUCCGACUGUUUAGGGCGGUUCCGCAAGCAGGUUGCAAAGUAGCCAAAGGAUGUGCUUAAGUUAACUGAAAAAAAGGCAAAAGAAAAAAAUAAAAUUUAAAAAAGUAAUAAACAUAAAAAUAUGUAAAGAAAAAGUAUACCAACUAAAUAAAUAAAAUAAAAAAAAUAUAUGUAUUUACAAAGACCUUAACUAUUAAAUAAAUGAAAUCAUGAUUACAUGAGUGGUUGAAAACGUUUUCAGAGGCAAAGAAAAAAAUUAAUGCACAUAAAAAGGUGAAUAAUUUUCUUUGGAAUUUUCGAUUUGAAUUGAAACACAGAAAAAAUAAAGUGUAAAAAUAAGUGAAAUUGUUAAAAAAAAAAAAAAAAAACAAAUCUUUGACAAAUUAAAAAUAAAAUUCCUUGAAGCUGUUUUUUUGGGCGCUGCUUGCUGCUUAUUGUGAAUGUAUAGUAUAAAGGACCCUGAAAAUUAAACGGCCGAACGAAAAAUAUUUGAAGUCACGCAUCGAAGAAAAACUUGUUUAUCAAAUAUUUGAGAAUAAAAUCCAAUAAAAGAUUUGUGUGAAUAAAAAAGAGCAUGUACUAGUAUUGGUGCCUUUGCUUUCGUGUUAAACUAAUAUAAUUAAAUUGAAAACAGAAAAACAAGAUUUUUUGAAAAUUUCGAAGUGUACUAACUACAAGCCAGUGCGACGAAAUUGUGAAUAAAGCUACGUAUUAAAGCUUUUACCAAUUCUCAGCAAAUACAACCAGCACAGAGGCAAGAAGGAGUAACUCAGUUCGCAAAUGCCACAAUAGAAUCUCUGAACACAAGGAGACGGUAAGUUUGCAAUCAAUUGAAUAGAUUGUUUUCAAUUAAUUUCGAUUAGGGUUAGGAACUUGUGCAUGCAUUGACUGCACUUAGUUAAGAAAAUGUUUGCCCGGAAUUGCUAACACAAAAGCUGAUGAUAUUGGGUAACAUGUAUUAGCUCGUGUAGCAGAAAAUCUCAGUCGAAUAGUCGAUUCAAUGGAAAUAAACAAAAGGAAAAAUCUAUACACCUCCGCUUAUCUUCUUCGCAGUUUAGGUAUCGCUUUGCGGAUGCCGGU